Molecule: ribosomal RNA, 751 nt
Filed under: uncultured Actinomyces sp.
Lineage: Bacteria; Bacillati; Actinomycetota; Actinomycetes; Actinomycetales; Actinomycetaceae
Description: bacterial SSU rRNA
Rfam family: Bacterial small subunit ribosomal RNA
Source: RNAcentral
GACGAACGCUGGCGGCGUGCUUAACACAUGCAAGUCGAACGCUGAAGCCCAGCUUGCUGGGUGGAUGAGUGGCGAACGGGUGAGUAACACGUGAGUAACCUGCCCCCUUCUUUGGGAUAACGCCCGGAAACGGGUGCUAAUACUGGAUAUUCACUGAUCCUCGCAUGGGGGUUGGUGGAAAGGUUUUUUCUGGUGGGGGAUGGGCUCGCGGCCUAUCAGCUUGUUGGUGGGGUGAUGGCCUACCAAGGCUUUGACGGGUAGCCGGCCUGAGAGGGUGACCGGUCACAUUGGGACUGAGAUACGGCCCAGACUCCUACGGGAGGCAGCAGUGGGGAAUAUUGCACAAUGGGCGAAAGCCUGAUGCAGCGACGCCGCGUGAGGGAUGACGGCCUUCGGGUUGUAAACCUCUUUCGCUCAUGGUCAAGCCGCAACUGUGGGUUGUGGUGAGGGUAGUGGGUAAAGAAGCGCCGGCUAACUACGUGCCAGCAGCCGCGGUAAUACGUAGGGCGCGAGCGUUGUCCGGAAUUAUUGGGCGUAAAGGGCUUGUAGGCGGUUGGUCGCGUCUGCCGUGAAAUCCUCUGGCUUAACUGGGGGCGUGCGGUGGGUACGGGCUGACUUGAGUGCGGUAGGGGAGACUGGAACUCCUGGUGUAGCGGUGGAAUGCGCAGAUAUCAGGAAGAACACCGGUGGCGAAGGCGGGUCUCUGGGCCGUUACUGACGCUGAGGAGCGAAAGCGUGGGGAGCGAACAGG